AUACGGAGGGGGCUAGCGUUGUUCGGAAUUACUGGACGUAAAGCGUACGUAGGCGGACUGAUCAGUUGGGGGUGAAAUCCCAGGGCUUAACCCUGGAACUGCCUUCAAUACUGUCAGUCUUGAGAUUGGAAGAGGUGAGUGGAAUUCCUAGUGUAGAGGUGAAAUUCAUAGAUAUUAGGAGGAACACCAGUGGCGAAGGCGGCUCACUGGUCCAAUACUGACGCUGAGGUACGAAAGCGUGGGGAGCAAACAGGAUUAGAAACCCCAGUAGUCC
RNAcentral lists this ribosomal RNA (274 nucleotides) under uncultured bacterium. Its description in RNAcentral is "partial 16S ribosomal RNA". It matches the Rfam family "Bacterial small subunit ribosomal RNA", at positions 523 to 796 of the family's 1533-position model. The record is from RNAcentral.